UACGGAGGGUGCAAGCGUUAUCCGGAUUCAUUGGGUUUAAAGGGUGCGUAGGCGGGAUAGUAAGUCAGUGGUGAAAGCCUGCGGCUUAACCGUAGAAUUGCCAUUGAUACUGCUAUCCUUGAGUACAGCCGAAGUGGGCGGAAUGUGGCAUGUAGCGGUGAAAUGCAUAGAUAUGCCACAGAACACCGAUUGCGAAGGCAGCUCACUAGACUGUAACUGACGCUGAGGCACGAAAGCGUGGGGAGCGAACAGG
This 253-nucleotide unclassified non-coding RNA is filed under the name uncultured Bacteroidales bacterium. Its description in RNAcentral is "contains 16S-23S intergenic spacer region". It matches the Rfam family "Bacterial small subunit ribosomal RNA", at positions 524 to 776 of the family's 1533-position model. The record is from RNAcentral. Lineage: Bacteria; Pseudomonadati; Bacteroidota; Bacteroidia; Bacteroidales.